RNAcentral lists this ribosomal RNA (305 nucleotides) under uncultured bacterium. RNAcentral's name for it is "bacterial SSU rRNA". It matches the Rfam family "Bacterial small subunit ribosomal RNA", at positions 337 to 639 of the family's 1533-position model. The record is from RNAcentral.
UCCUACGGGAGGCAGCAGUGAGGAAUAUUGGUCAAUGGGCUUACGCCUGAACCAGCCAAGUCGCGUGAGGGAAGACUGCCCUAUGGGUUGUAAACCUCUUUUGUCAGGGAGCAACGCCGGCUACGUGUAGCCGGACUGAGAGUACCUGAAGAAAAAGCAUCGGCUAACUCCGUGCCAGCAGCCGCGGUAAUACGGAGGAUGCGAGCGUUAUCCGGAUUUAUUGGGUUUAAAGGGUGCGUAGGCGGAAUGCCAAGUCAGCGGUAAAAUCGCGGGGCUCAACCUCGCUCAGCCGUUGAAACUGGCGU